RNAcentral lists this ribosomal RNA (448 nucleotides) under uncultured bacterium. Its description in RNAcentral is "partial 16S ribosomal RNA". It matches the Rfam family "Bacterial small subunit ribosomal RNA", at positions 330 to 793 of the family's 1533-position model. The record is from RNAcentral.
GCCAGACUCCUACGGGAGGCAGCAGUGGGGGAUAUUGCACAAUGGGGGGAACCCUGAUGCAGCGACGCCGCGUGGGUGAAGGAGCGUUUCGGCGCGUAAAGCCCUCUCGGCAGGGAAGAAGGAGGACGGUACCUGACUAAGAAGCCCCGGCUAACUACGUGCCAGCAGCCGCGGUAAUACGUAGGGGGCAAGCGUUAUCCGGAUUUACUGGGUGUAAAGGGGGCGCAGACGGCAGCGCAAGCCAGGAGUGAAAGCCCGGGGCCCAACCCCGGGACUGCUCUUGGAACUGCGCGGCUGGAGUGCAGGAGGGGCAGGCGGAAUUCCUAGUGUAGCGGUGAAAUGCGUAGAUAUUAGGAGGAACACCAGUGGCGAAGGCGGCCUGCUGGACAGUAACUGACGUUGAGGCUCGAAAGCGUGGGGAGCAAACAGGAUUAGAUACCCCUGUAAA